RNAcentral lists this ribosomal RNA (843 nucleotides) under uncultured bacterium. RNAcentral's name for it is "bacterial SSU rRNA". It matches the Rfam family "Bacterial small subunit ribosomal RNA", at positions 524 to 1381 of the family's 1533-position model. The record is from RNAcentral.
UACGUAGGGGUCGAGCGUUGUCCGGAGUUACUGGGCGUAAAGCGUGCGCAGGCGGCUCAUUGCGCCCGGCGUGAAAGCCCCCGGCUCAACCGGGGAGGGUCGUCGGGGACGGGUGAGCUUGAGGGUAUCAGGGGUUGGUGGAAUUCCCGGUGUAGUGGUGAAAUGCGUAGAGAUCGGGAGGAACACCCGUGGCGAAGGCGGCCAACUGGGAUACACCUGACGCUGAGGCACGAAGGCGUGGGGAGCGAACGGGAUUAGAUACCCCGGUAGUCCACGCAGUAAACGAUGCAGACUAGGCGUGGGGGGACUUGACCCCCUCCGUGCCGGAGCUAACGCGGGAAGUCUGCCGCCUGGGGAGUACGGCCGCAAGGCUAAAACUCAAAGGAAUUGACGGGGGCCCGCACAAGCGGCGGAGCGUGCUCUUUAAUUCGUCGCAACGCGAAGAACCUUACCAGGGCUUGACAUGGAUCUGCAUCCCCGUGAAAGCGGGUGGCCUUCGAGGGUGAUCCACAGGUGCUGCAUGGCUGUCGUCAGCUCGUGUCGUGAGAUGUUGGGUUAAGUCCCGCAACGAGCGCAACCCUUGUAUCCAGUUGCGAUUUUCUGGACAGACUGCCGGGAGCAAACCGGAGGAAGGUGGGGAUGAUGUCAAGUCAGCAUGGCCCUUACGCCCUGGGCGAGAAGCACGCUACAAUGGCCGGGACAGAGGGUUGCCAAGCGGUAACGUGGAGCUAAUCCCAGAAACCCGGUCUCAGUUCGGAUCGUGGGCUGCAACUCGCCCACGUGAAGGUGGAGUCGCUAGUAACCGCAGGUCAGCAGUACUGCGGUGAAUAUGUUCCCGGGCCU